RNAcentral lists this ribosomal RNA (512 nucleotides) under uncultured Acidobacteriota bacterium. RNAcentral describes it as "bacterial SSU rRNA". It matches the Rfam family "Bacterial small subunit ribosomal RNA", at positions 355 to 857 of the family's 1533-position model. The record is from RNAcentral. Lineage: Bacteria; Pseudomonadati; Acidobacteriota.
UGGGGAAUUGUUCGCAAUGGGCGCAAGCCUGACGACGCAACGCCGCGUGGAGGAUGAAGGUCUUCGGAUUGUAAACUCCUGUUGAUUGGGACGAACAUCCAUCGGGCUAAUACCCCGGAGGACUGACGGUACCGAUUGAGGAAGCCCCGGCUAACUCUGUGCCAGCAGCCGCGGUAAUACAGAGGGGGCAAGCGUUGUUCGGAAUUACUGGGCGUAAAGGGCGCGUAGGCGGCCGUUUAAGUCAGACGUGAAAUCCCUCGGCUCAACCGGGGAACUGCGUCUGAUACUGGGUGGCUUGAAUCCGGGAGAGGGAUGUGGAAUUCCAGGUGUAGCGGUGAAAUGCGUAGAUAUCUGGAGGAACACCGGUGGCGAAGGCGGCAUCCUGGACCGGUAUUGACGCUGAGGCGCGAAAGCCAGGGGAGCAAACGGGAUUAGAUACCCCGGUAGUCCUGGCCCUAAACGAUGAAUGCUUGGUGUGGCGGGUAUCGAUCCCUGCCGUGCCGAAGCUAACG